Molecule: transfer RNA, 66 nt
Filed under: Eutrichosiphum pasaniae
Lineage: Eukaryota; Metazoa; Arthropoda; Insecta; Hemiptera; Aphididae
Description: tRNA-Trp
Source: RNAcentral
AAGAUUUUAAGUUAAUAAAACUAUUAAUUUUCAAAAUUAAAAAUAAAUAAAAUAAAUUAAAUCUUA